Molecule: transfer RNA, 76 nt
Filed under: Gemmatimonadota bacterium
Lineage: Bacteria; Pseudomonadati; Gemmatimonadota
Also listed under: 1 other name
Description: Gemmatimonadetes bacterium tRNA-Thr
Rfam family: tRNA
About the family: Transfer RNA (tRNA) molecules are approximately 80 nucleotides in length. Their secondary structure includes four short double-helical elements and three loops (D, anti-codon, and T loops).
Source: RNAcentral
GCCAUCCUAGCUCAGCUGGUAGAGCACCUGAUUCGUAAUCAGGCGGUCGGCGGUUCGAAUCCGCUGGAUGGCUCCA